RNAcentral lists this ribosomal RNA (253 nucleotides) under uncultured bacterium. RNAcentral's name for it is "partial 16S ribosomal RNA". It matches the Rfam family "Bacterial small subunit ribosomal RNA", at positions 524 to 776 of the family's 1533-position model. The record is from RNAcentral.
UACGUAGGGGGCCAGCGUUGCUCGGAAUUACUGGGCGUAAAGGGUUCGUAGGCGGUGUGGCAAGUCGGAAGUGAAAUCUCCAGGCUUAACUUGGAGGCUGCUCCCGAAACUGCCAUGCUAGAGUGCGGGAGAGGCCAGUGGAAUUGCAGGUGUAGCGGUGAAAUGCGUAGAUAUCGUAAGGAAGACCAGUGGCGAAGGCGGGUCUCUGGACAGUUCCUGACGCUGAGGCACGAAGGCCAGGGGAGCAAACGGG